RNAcentral lists this ribosomal RNA (466 nucleotides) under uncultured bacterium. RNAcentral describes it as "bacterial SSU rRNA". It matches the Rfam family "Bacterial small subunit ribosomal RNA", at positions 330 to 792 of the family's 1533-position model. The record is from RNAcentral.
CCCAGACUCCUACGGGAGGCAGCAGUGAGGAAUAUUGGUCAAUGGGCUUACGCCUGAACCAGCCAAGUCGCGUGAGGGAAGACUGCCCUAUGGGUUGUAAACCUCUUUUGUCAGGGAGCAACGCCGGCUACGUGUAGCCGGACUGAGAGUACCUGAAGAAAAAGCAUCGGCUAACUCCGUGCCAGCAGCCGCGGUAAUACGUAGGGGGCAAGCGUUAUCCGGAUUUACUGGGUGUAAAGGGAGCGUAGGCGGUUCAGCAAGUCAGAAGUGAAAGCCCGGGGCUCAACUCCGGGACUGCUUUUGAAACUGUUGAACUAGAUUGCAGGAGAGGUAAGUGGAAUUCCUAGUGUAGCGGUGAAAUGCGUAGAUAUUAGGAGGUACACCAGUGGCGAAGGCGGCUUACUGGACUGUAAAUGACGCUGAGGCUCGAAAGCGUGGGGAGCAAACAGGAUUAGAUACCCGAGUA